RNAcentral lists this long non-coding RNA (1399 nucleotides) under Numida meleagris (helmeted guineafowl). RNAcentral's name for it is "lncRNA (ENSNMEG00000010612.1)". The record is from RNAcentral. Lineage: Eukaryota; Metazoa; Chordata; Aves; Galliformes; Numididae.
GAGAGCCGUGAUGAAUGGACUGACCAGGGGAUAAUGGCGGACAUUCUGUUGACCUCAGCCUUAAAACAGCUUUUGUUGGUGAGGUUUCUGCAAUGAUAGUUUUGGAUUGAGUUCUUAUUGAAAAGAGGCUGAAAACGAGUUCUGGGAGAGCAAAGAACGGAGCUUUGAUUUUAUUUUAUUUUUAUUUUUAUUUUUUGCCUGCUUAAUUCCAACUCAUUUGUCUCUUCUGGAUCCUGAAUUCUGGGAAGUUACAGCAUGGAAAGAUUAUGAAGUGCAUCUCAUCCAGUGAGGUUCUUUGGGACAAGAUCUUAUACCUCGUUUCUCUACCUCCCUUACCUCCUUUACUAUGUGUGGCCAAGAUAUUUGUAUCUCAUAAAAUAAGGCUUGCAUUCUGUUCAAGCCACUGGCAGUUAGCUUCUCUCUGGGUUUUUACAUUCUGCUGGAAGGCAGAAAAACCAGUUUUAUCCAGACAGCACUGUGAGGAUGAGUUGCAUGAAUUACUUACCCAAUCUGCUUGAAAAAAAAUUACAUUUCUUCUGAACAUAUGCCACUGUCUAUUAAAGGCAUUUCUAGGAUGUAAAAAUACUAUAUCAUUUCAUAAAAUAGUUUGUGGUAUGAAUAACUGUAGGUCCAUUCAAAAAUAUUUAAUUUUUGAAUGUUUUAAGAUUUUAAUGUACGUACUUAAAAUGGAUGAAGUGGUGUGUAUGUUACUAUGAGAAAUUAGAACAAAUAAGUUGUCUUAAAUUGAGCAGUCAUAUUUGUGUAGAAAUGGAAAGUGUUUUCUACUGAUAUUCUUCAGAAUCUUCAUUUGGAAUUUUUUUUUACUUCGCUCUAAAUAUCAUUAAGCUGCUAGUAGCUUCAAAUCUUCUGUGCAAGAACAGGAGAUAACUGCUUUUCCCCGUAAGUGAAGGCAUGUUUGCGUUUUUGUUUAAUAACAACUUUGAUCCUUCUACUGCUGGCAAUGGUCAUUGAGAAAUCCUGACAUAAAGAAGGUAUCUGCAAGAUAAAGUUCUACAAGGGAUGAUUAGCAGCACUUAAGUUUUCUUUUUGUUGAAAGGAAGAAUCCCUGAUUGAACAGUGCAUUGAAUGAUAUGACAAGCAAGUACUUGAUCCCUGUCCAGCUGGAAAGGAAUUGUAUUCAUCAGCAGCUUUUUAGCUAAGGAUGUCUUUAUAUUUUCACUCUUUGUUUGAGUCUCUCCAGAUCCUCCCUUUACUUCAUGUCAGCACUAUAUAGUAGGUAUGCCAAGUGGUUUUGAAAUUUAAAUUACAGUCUCUUUUUCAGAUGUUAUUGGAAAGAACAUGUAAUUUAUAACCACGUGUUAGGAGUACAGGAUGUUCAUGGUUCACUGCCAAUUCUUCUUUUGUAAAGUUAAUAAAACUUUCAUAAAACACUUAUACA